Carassius auratus (goldfish) is the source of this 610-nucleotide long non-coding RNA. RefSeq lists it as uncharacterized. The record is from RefSeq and is a predicted model, not a curated record. Lineage: Eukaryota; Metazoa; Chordata; Actinopteri; Cypriniformes; Cyprinidae. The transcript is spliced from 3 exons.
AAACAAAGAGACUCAAGUUAUAGCUCUUAAAAAAACCUGUGUGUGUGAUAAUGUCAUAUAGUUAGUUCAAAAUUGCUUUGAUUUAUAGGGAUUUAAUUUAGUGACUUUACCAUUUGUUUUAAUGAUGUUUAUUUACAGUGCAAUCUAUUCUGCUUACCCGACUCAUGCAGACUUCUGUCCUGAUGUUUGGCUGUAGUCCUUCCAUCAUCCAGUCUUUUGCAACCGGUCUAUUUAUGGAGACCACCAUGAUCUAAUCUAUACAGAUCUAGUUGUCUCUUCUCCCACAAACUCCUCUUUCAGAUUUUGAGCGGAUCUCCUUCAUUCUGCAGCCAGCUCACCAGAACCUCUGGGUGCACCAGCUGUGGAUAUUACAGGCCAAACUUUGGACACCCUAGGACAACAUCCUUAGCACAGAUCUACCUAUAGCCCUCCAUCAUUCCCACAUCCAUCUUGCAACAGUUUCAUUAAGUGCAGUCCAUAACCAGUUCACAGUCUACACCUUGUCCAUUGCAAAUGUUAUGGAUUAUUCUAAUAAAGAUCUUUCUAUUAUUUUUUUUGAGACAGUUAUUAUGUACUCUGUUAUGUUGUGAAUAAAGUCUAAUUCUAUGAG